AUUAAUGGACGGUAUAAAAAGAAAAGAAUAGGCAGAGGUAAUACUCCUCAAACCACGAAUUUUACUCCCACCCUUCGCGACCGGCGGCUCUCUUCUGUCCUCCUCUCCAUCUCGCCGCCUUCCACCACUGACCACCGGCCUCCGACAUUCAAGCCCUAGACGCAGGUCACGCAUCACCUUCGAGUCCUUGAACUUCUCGAGACGCGGCAGUCGGCAGCAGUCCUUCCAGUCUACAUUUCCACCAACGAUUCGACGGCAAAAGUAGAAGGUGAAGCUCCUUGAUUAUGAUUCCUAAACUGUACUCAAUUUCUAUCUGAAAAUUAAUUUUCUUGUUCAUUCUGUAAAUCCAAUUUAAAAAAAGUGCGUAUGUUUUAGUUAAUUUCUACUAUUUCUUGAUUUAAACUGUAGGGAAAAUGGAAUUUGUUUACUGGGCUGCUGGAGUUCAUUCAACUAAGAAGUUUUCUGCUCUCCAAGAUGCCAGACUUAAUAANAACAAGAUAUGA
This 503-nucleotide long non-coding RNA is filed under the name Olea europaea subsp. europaea. The record is from RNAcentral. Lineage: Eukaryota; Viridiplantae; Streptophyta; Magnoliopsida; Lamiales; Oleaceae.